UGACCCCAUGCCGAACUCAGAAGUGAAACGCCGUAGCGCCGAUGGUAGUGUGGGGGCUCCCCAUGCGAGAGUAGGGAACUGCCAGGC
Molecule: ribosomal RNA, 87 nt
Filed under: Escherichia coli
Lineage: Bacteria; Pseudomonadati; Pseudomonadota; Gammaproteobacteria; Enterobacterales; Enterobacteriaceae
Also listed under: 1 other name
Source: RNAcentral